Long non-coding RNA from Pantherophis guttatus, 1438 nucleotides. RefSeq lists it as uncharacterized. The record is from RefSeq and is a predicted model, not a curated record. Lineage: Eukaryota; Metazoa; Chordata; Lepidosauria; Squamata; Colubridae.
CUGUCUCUCAAAAAGGAAGUUAAAGGAAGGAGAGGUGGGGGAUGUGCUCUUUUCAAAUGUGCAAACGUUUAUACGAGUCUGGGGCAAGAAGUAACGAAGUACCAAAAGUUAACCUCCCUUGAGUGGUGGUGGGGGGGGGGGAGAAAUUGCAUUUGAAAAAUCCGGAGGCUUUCUCCUAAAACUGAUUUCAUGUCAGCACAGGAUUUGGUUCUAAGCUUUUGUGUUUUCUGGUGCUAAUAUAUAAACCAGACUGCAGCACAAGUCUUUUUAAUCGUUUGUAAAGCAAGACUUUACAAAACCUGUUUCCGGCUUCCUCAACUUGAUGCUUUCCUGAUAUCUUCCCAUUGCUGCCUUCCUAGCAGAGAAACAUGAGAUCUAUGUGAUUUUUAUUCAGAGACAUUUGAGUAGCGUUGGGUCAAUCACUUGCAUGUGUCUGGUUUGACAAGGCCUCUGCUGAGUAAUGCAAGAAAAGAAGAUGGGAGUCUCGGCACCUGGGACCAGUUUGUAUUUCAACAUGCUGGAUAAUGGAACAUACGAGUCUACAGCCUUGUGCAAUUCUUGGAGUUGUUGUGGCCAGAUCUGUAUUACAUCAGGUUGGAGAUGUUGAGUAUAUACUUGAUAUGGAAACAAACCCAUGAAAACAAUACGUCUCCACUUUAAGUUGUGUCCCAUUUCUUGGAUGCUGCCUGGACAAGUAAUUUUCUUGGCAAGAUUUUUCAGAAGUGAUUUUUCAAAAUUCAGAGAACAACCAAAAUGCAUUAGGAUUACAACUGCAUGGGCUUCAGCUACAGCAAAUUCAUGGAGGAGCCUGUAAGGAGGGAAGGUGUUCCACAAGUAGGAGCAGCCUUGGAAAAGGCAUACCUCCUACGUUCUGCUAGAUGGCAGAUUUCAGGGAAGAGACCGAAGGUAUGUCUAUCCUAUGUGAUCUGGUGGGAUGGAGGCAGAUGUUCUCAGGGAAAGACCAUCUUGCAAACAACCUGGUCCUAUUCAAUUUAGGGCUUUAAAUGUGACUAGCAUCUUGAAUUGGACCUAGAAGGAAACGGAGUGUUCAUGCAAUUUAUGCAACUGGUGAAACUGGAAGCUCCCAACACUCUAUGCACCGCUGCAUUCUGGACCAGUUGUAGCUUGUGGACAGUCUUCUAAGGCAAUCCAAUGUAGAGUGCAUUCCAGUAGUUCAAAUGGGAACCGACCAGGGUAUGAAUGACCUAAUAUUUUGAGGCAGACAUCAAGUAUUGCAAGAACUCUGGAAUAAAGACUUGCUGGGAUUUUUUUCAAAUCAAAGUCUUAAAGAAUACAGUAUCAAGUAUGCUUCGUCAUUCUUAAGAAGAGAUUAAUUCAAGAGUCAAAUACCACUUUUUUUUCUGUUUACUGGACAUUUCAAAUAAUGUUUAGAAAGAGUUGUCUGUUUCUUUAAACUGAAAGUAUAAUAUGAAAGGGA